CCUACGGGGGGCAGCAGUGGGGAAUAUUGGACAAUGGGGGCAACCCUGAUCCAGCCAUGCCGCGUGUGUGAAGAAGGCCCUCGGGUUGUAAAGCACUUUCAGUGAGGAAGAACGCCUGGUGGUUAAUACCCAUCAGGAAAGACAUCACUCACAGAAGAAGCACCGGCUAACUCCGUGCCAGCAGCCGCGGUAAUACGGAGGGUGCGAGCGUUAAUCGGAAUUACUGGGCGUAAAGCGCGCGUAGGUGGCUUGAUAAGCCGGUUGUGAAAGCCCCGGGCUCAACCUGGGAACGGCAUCCGGAACUGUCAAGCUAGAGUGCAGGAGAGGAAAGUAGAAUUCCCGGUGUAGCGGUGAAAUGCGUAGAGAUCGGGAGGAAUACCAGUGGCGAAGGCGGCCUUCUGGACUGACACUGACACUGAGGUGCGAAAGCGUGGGUAGCAAACAGGAUUAGAUACCCCAGUAGUC
This 465-nucleotide ribosomal RNA is filed under the name Vreelandella stevensii. RNAcentral describes it as "partial 16S ribosomal RNA". It matches the Rfam family "Bacterial small subunit ribosomal RNA", at positions 338 to 795 of the family's 1533-position model. Lineage: Bacteria; Pseudomonadati; Pseudomonadota; Gammaproteobacteria; Oceanospirillales; Halomonadaceae. The record is from RNAcentral.